RNAcentral lists this ribosomal RNA (564 nucleotides) under Streptomyces sp. 319F07. RNAcentral's name for it is "bacterial SSU rRNA". It matches the Rfam family "Bacterial small subunit ribosomal RNA", at positions 93 to 671 of the family's 1533-position model. Lineage: Bacteria; Bacillati; Actinomycetota; Actinomycetes; Kitasatosporales; Streptomycetaceae. RNAcentral also lists the same sequence under 1 other name. The record is from RNAcentral.
UAGUGGCGAACGGGUGAGUAACACGUGGGCAAUCUGCCCUUCACUCUGGGACAAGCCCUGGAAACGGGGUCUAAUACCGGAUAACACCUGCCCGGGCAUCUGGGUGGGUUAAAAGCUCCGGCGGUGAAGGAUGAGCCCGCGGCCUAUCAGCUUGUUGGUGAGGUAGUGGCUCACCAAGGCGACGACGGGUAGCCGGCCUGAGAGGGCGACCGGCCACACUGGGACUGAGACACGGCCCAGACUCCUACGGGAGGCAGCAGUGGGGAAUAUUGCACAAUGGGCGAAAGCCUGAUGCAGCGACGCCGCGUGAGGGAUGACGGCCUUCGGGUUGUAAACCUCUUUCAGCAGGGAAGAAGCGAAAGUGACGGUACCUGCAGAAGAAGCGCCGGCUAACUACGUGCCAGCAGCCGCGGUAAUACGUAGGGCGCAAGCGUUGUCCGGAAUUAUUGGGCGUAAAGAGCUCGUAGGCGGCUUGUCACGUCGGGUGUGAAAGCCCGGGGCUUAACCCCGGGUCUGCAUUCGAUACGGGCUAGCUAGAGUGUGGUAGGGGAGAUCGGAUUUCCU